UUGGAGGGCAAGUCUGGUGCCAGCAGCCGCGGUAAUUCCAGCUCCAAUAGCGUAUAUUAAAGUUGUUGCAGUUAAAAAGCUCGUAGUUGAAUUUCGGGGUUAGUAGGUUGGUCAUGCCUCUGGUAUGUACUGGUCUCACUGAUUCCUCCUUCCUGAUGAGCCGUAAUGCCAUUAAUUUGGUGUUGCGGGGAAUUUGGACUGUUACUUUGAAAAAAUUAGAGUGUUUAAAGCAAGCUAACGCGUGAAUACAUUAGCAUGGAAUAAUGAAAUAGGACGUUCGAUCCUAUUUUGUUGGUUUCUAGGAUUGACGUAAUGAUUAAUAGGGAUAGUUGGGGGCAUUAGUAUUCAAUUGUCAGAGGUGAAAUUCUUGGAUUUAUUGAAGACUAACUACUGCGAAAGCAUUUGCCAAGGAUGUUUUCAUUAAUCAAGAACGAAAGUUAGGGGAUCGAAGACGAUCUGAUACCGUCGUAGUCUUAACCAUAAACUAUGCCGACUAGGGAUCGGAUGAUGUUAAUUUUUUAAUGACUCAUUCGGCGCCUUACGGGAAAC
This 549-nucleotide ribosomal RNA is filed under the name uncultured Glomeromycotina. RNAcentral's name for it is "SSU rRNA". It matches the Rfam family "Eukaryotic small subunit ribosomal RNA", at positions 548 to 1098 of the family's 1831-position model. Lineage: Eukaryota; Fungi; Glomeromycota. The record is from RNAcentral.